This is a long non-coding RNA of Phasianus colchicus (ring-necked pheasant), 3388 nucleotides long. NCBI's taxonomy places the organism in Eukaryota, Metazoa, Chordata, Aves, Galliformes, Phasianidae. The record is from Ensembl.
GAUGGGAUGGGAUGGGAUGGGAUGGGAUGGGAUGGGAUGGGAUGGGAUGGGAUGGGAUGGGAUGGGAGCAGUGGCUGUGGAUAUCUUCACAGCCCAGCAGCUCCCGCUGUGCCCCAAAUCCCCCGUGGAGCCCGGAGGUGGCAGAGCAGCAUUAGGAGGCGGCCGAUCCCGGCUCUGGGGACAAAUCCCACACACGGCCCCAAAGCACUGCGGCUCUCCCAGCCCGACCCCAUCUGGCAGCCGGGCCUUACGGGGUUCACGGCUCAUUGAGUUCGCAGCCAGCCCUGCUACUGAGCCGGCACGCAUGGGGUGCGCUGACCCCAUAACUGGGCUGACCCCAUAACUGGGCUGACCCCAUAACUGCGCUGACCCCAUAGCUGGGCUAACCCCAUAACUGGGCUAACCCCAUAACUGGGCUAAUCCCAUAGCUGGGCUGAUCUCAUGGCUGACCCCAUAACGGGGCUGACCCCAUAACUGGGCUGACCCCAUAGAUGGGCUGACCCUAUGGGUGGGCUGACCCCAUAGCUCUGCUGACCCCAUAGCUGGGCUGACCCCAUAGCAAAUAUCGCAGCUCCAUGCAUUGCAUCUCUGCCCAUUGCACCUCCAUGCAUUGCACUCCUAUCAGUUGCACCUCCGUCCUUUGCACCUCCACUCACUGCAUCCCAGCACGUUGCACCUUUGCACACUGCACCCCCAUCCAUUGCACUUCCAUCUUUGCACCUCCACUCGUUGCACCUCCAUCCUCUCCAUGUUGCACCACUGUACAUUGCACCACCACACCUUGCAUCCCAGCACGUUGCACCUUUGCACAUUGCACCUCCAUCUGUUGCACCUCCAUCCAUUGCACCUCUAUUUUUGCACCUCCAUCCAUUGCACCCCCAUCCAUUGCACCUCCACCUUUGCACCCCAUGCACUGCACCUCUGCACUUUGCACCUCCGUGCAUUGCACCCCUAUCUGCUGCACCUCCAUGCAUUGCACCCCCACUCAUUGCAUCCCAGCACGUUGCACCUUUGCACACCUCACCUCCAUGCAUUGCACCUCCAUCUUUGCACCUCCAUCCAUUGCACUUCCAUCUUUGCACCUUCAUCCAUUGCACCUCCAUGCAUUGCACCUCCACCUUUGCACCUCCAUGCACUGCUCCUCUGCACACUGCACCUCCGUGCAUUGCACCCCUGUCUGUUGCACCCCCCCUGCAUUGCACCUCCACUCAUUGCAUCCCAGCACGUUGCACCUUUGCACAUUGCACCUCCAUGCAUUGCAUGUGCAUCCACUGCACCUCUGCACGUUNNNNNNNNNNNNNNNNNNNNNNNNNNNNNNNNNNNNNNNNNNNNNNNNNNNNNNNNNNNNNNNNNNNNNNNNNNNNNNNNNNNNNNNNNNNNNNNNNNNNNNNNNNNNNNNNNNNNNNNNNNNNNNNNNNNNNNNNNNNNNNNNNNNNNNNNNNNCCGCGAUCCAUCAGCGCCCACAGGAGGCGGCGCGGCGCCUCCGCAGCUCCACAAAUAGAAGCGAAGCUUUGCAACGGGAACGAACGGCCGUGCAAAGCCGUGCAAAGCCGUGCAACGCCGUGCAACGCCGUGCAACGCCGUGCAAAGCCGUGCGACCCCCUUUGCACACAGCAAAACCCGUGGGCAGCUGCAAACUGACCCCGAGCCAAAGGGUUUUGCAAAACCCGCCCAGCCCACGUGCAAGAGCCGAAGCCACGUGCAAAGCCGGAGCACGCGGUGCAAUGGGCGGCGUGCACGUGCAGCGCCCGGGUGGGCGUGCAAACGGCAAAGCCACGUGCAAGCUCCGCACGCGAAAAAAACACACGCGCGCACACGGAGCACGUUGCAAACGUGCUGCAGGACGCACGGGGGAAAUGCGAACUGCAAAUGCACGUGCACGCUCUGCAGGCUGCAAGUGCAACUGCAAACCACAAAGCCAGGUGCAAAACCGGAGCUCGGGUUGCAAACACCCUGCAGACCCCAAACGCAGCUGCAAACCCCAAGCAUGCAUUGCAAUCAUUGUGCAAAACCCAAAGAGCAGCUGCAAACCCCAAACCCAGUUGCAAACCCAGAGCUCAGGUUGCAAACACCCUGCAGACCCCAGAAUGCAGCUGCAAACCCCAAACCCAGUUGCAAACAUUGCAAACACCCUGCAGACCCCAAAUUGCACCUACAAACCCCAAACCCAGGUGCAAAUUCCAAGCAUGCAUUUGCAAACAGUGUGCAAAACCCAAAUUGCAGCUGCAAACCCCAAACCCAGUUGCAAGCAUUGCAAACACCUGCAGACCCCAAAUUCCACCUGCAAACCCCAAACCCAGCUGCAAAUCCCAAGCAUGCACUGCAAACACUGUGCAAAACCCAAAGAGCAGCUGCAAACCCCAAACCCAGGUGCAAACCCAGAGCUCAGGUUCCAAACACCCUGCAGAUCCCAGAAUGCAGCUGCAAACCCCAAACCCAGGUGCAAACAUUGCAAACACCCUGCAGACCCCAAACGCAGCUGCAAAGCCCAAACCCAGGAGCAAAUCCCAAGCAUGCAUUGCAAACACUGUGCAAAACUCACAGAGCACCUGCAAACCCCAAAACCAUUUGCAAACCCAGAGCUCAGGUUGCAAACACCCUGCAGACCCCAAAAUGCAGCUGCAAACCCCAAACCCAGCUGCAAACCCUGCAAGCACCCUGCAGACCCCAAAUGCAUCUACAAACCCCAAACCCAGGAGCAAAUCCCAAGCAUGCAUUGCAAACACUGUGCAAAACCCAAAGAGCAGCUGCAAACCCCAAACCCAUCUGCAAACCUGGAGCUCAAUUUGCAAACACCCUGCGGACCCCAAAAUGCAGCUGCAAACCCCAAACCCAGGUGCAAAUCCCAAGCAUGCAUUUGCAAACACUCUGCAAAACCCAAAGAGCAGCUGAAAACCCCAAAAUGCAGCAGCAAACCCAGAGCUCAGGUUGCAAACACCUUGCAGACCCCAAAAUGCAGCUGCAAACCCCAAACCCAGGUGCAAACAUUGCAAACACCUGCAGACCCCAAACGCACCUGCAAACCCCAAACCCAGCUGCAAAUCCCAAGCAUGCAUUGCAAACACUGUGCAAAACCCAAAGAGCACCUGCAAACCCCAAAAUGCAGCAGCAAACCCAGAGCUCAGGUUGCAAACACCCUGCAAACCCAAAAUGCAGCUGCAAACCCCAAACCCAGUUGCAAACCCUGCAAGCACCCUGCAGACCCCAAAUGCAUCUACAAACCCCAAACCCAGGUGCAAAUCCCAAGCAUGCAUUGCAAACACUGUGCAAAACCCAAAGAGCAGCUGCAAACCCCAAACCCAGCUGCAAACCUGGAGCUCGGGUUGCAAACAACCUGCAAACCCCAAAAUGCAGCUGCAAACCCCAAACCCAUUUGCAACCCCCCCCC